GGGGAUGUGGCUCUGUGGUAGAGCUCUUGCCUUGCAUGCAUAAGGCCGUAGGUUAGAUCCCCACCACCACCG
Molecule: transfer RNA, 72 nt
Filed under: Cavia porcellus (domestic guinea pig)
Lineage: Eukaryota; Metazoa; Chordata; Mammalia; Rodentia; Caviidae
Rfam family: tRNA
About the family: Transfer RNA (tRNA) molecules are approximately 80 nucleotides in length. Their secondary structure includes four short double-helical elements and three loops (D, anti-codon, and T loops).
Source: Rfam by way of RNAcentral